This 82-nucleotide transfer RNA is filed under the name Elusimicrobiota bacterium. Its description in RNAcentral is "Elusimicrobia bacterium (groundwater metagenome) tRNA-Leu". It matches the Rfam family "tRNA". Rfam says of the family: Transfer RNA (tRNA) molecules are approximately 80 nucleotides in length. Their secondary structure includes four short double-helical elements and three loops (D, anti-codon, and T loops). Further hydrogen bonds mediate the characteristic L-shaped molecular structure. tRNAs have two regions of fundamental functional importance: the anti-codon, which is responsible for specific mRNA codon recognition, and the 3' end, to which the tRNAs corresponding amino acid is attached (by aminoacyl-tRNA synthetases). tRNAs cope with the degeneracy of the genetic code in two manners: having more than one tRNA (with a specific anti-codon) for a particular amino acid; and 'wobble' base-pairing, i.e. permitting non-standard base-pairing at the 3rd anti-codon position. Lineage: Bacteria; Pseudomonadati; Elusimicrobiota. The record is from RNAcentral.
GGACGGGUGGCGGAAUUGGCAGACGCGUACGGCUUAGGACCGUAUGCCUUAGGGCGUGUGGGUUCAAGUCCCUCCCCGUCCA